This 407-nucleotide ribosomal RNA is filed under the name bacterium enrichment culture clone ALO1_GLFRUDD03FO7XX. RNAcentral describes it as "bacterial SSU rRNA". It matches the Rfam family "Bacterial small subunit ribosomal RNA", at positions 9 to 416 of the family's 1533-position model. The record is from RNAcentral.
GAGUUUGAUCCUGGCUCAGAUUGAACGCUGGCGGCAUGCCUUACACAUGCAAGUCGAACGGCAGCACGGGAGCUUGCUCCUGGUGGCGAGUGGCGAACGGGUGAGUAAUGCAUCGGAACGUAUCCUGGAGUGGGGGAUAACGCAGCGAAAGUUACGCUAAUACCGCAUAUUCUGUGAGCAGGAAAGCGGGGGACCUUCGGGCCUCGCGCUCUUGGAGCGGCCGAUGUCGGAUUAGUUAGUUGGUGAGGUAAAGGCUCACCAAGGCGACGAUCCGUAGCAGGUCUGAGAGGAUGAUCUGCCACACUGGAACUGAGACACGGUCCAGACUCCUACGGGAGGCAGCAGUGGGGAAUUUUGGACAAUGGGGGCAACCCUGAUCCAGCCAUGCCGCGUGAGUGAAGAAGGCC